Molecule: ribosomal RNA, 253 nt
Filed under: uncultured bacterium
Lineage: Bacteria
Description: partial 16S ribosomal RNA
Rfam family: Bacterial small subunit ribosomal RNA
Source: RNAcentral
GACGUAGGAGGCGAGCGUUGUCCGGAUUCAUUGGGCGUAAAGAGCGCGCAGGCGGUUUGGUAAGUCGGAUGUGAAAUCCCGGAGCUCAACUCCGGACCUGCAUCCGAUACUGCCCGACUAGAGGUAGGUAGGGGAGAUCGGAAUUCCUGGUGUAGCGGUGAAAUGCGCAGAUAUCAGGAAGAACACCCGUGGCGAAAGCGGCUCUCUGGAACGGUACUGACGCUGAGACGCGAAAGCGUGGGGAGCGAACAGG